Molecule: non-coding RNA, 281 nt
Filed under: Stegodyphus mimosarum
Lineage: Eukaryota; Metazoa; Arthropoda; Arachnida; Araneae; Eresidae
Description: Eukaryotic small subunit ribosomal RNA
Rfam family: Eukaryotic small subunit ribosomal RNA
Source: Rfam by way of RNAcentral
GUCUAAGUACAUGCCGUAUUAAGGCGAAACCGCGAAUGGCUCAUUAAAUCAGUUAUGGUUCCUUGGAUCGUACCUUACUACUUGGAUAACUGUGGCAAUUCUAGAGCUAAUACACUAACAGCAAAUGUAAUUGAACGUUUAUUUGUCCUACGUCUUGGUAGCUCAAAAACGUUAACAAAACAUUGCUGUUUGUGCCUGAAAAUGUAAUAAUACAUUAAACAUUUCCAAAUCAAAUAGUAAACUAGUAUUUGUAAGGUUGGUUUUAUAAGUGGAAGUUAGAG